GUGGUUGUAGUUCAGCUGGUUAGAACGCCUGAUUGUGGUUCAGGAGGUCGCGGGUUCGAAUCCCGUUUUCCACCCA
Molecule: transfer RNA, 76 nt
Filed under: Bacteroidota bacterium
Lineage: Bacteria; Pseudomonadati; Bacteroidota
Description: Bacteroidetes bacterium tRNA-His
Rfam family: tRNA
About the family: Transfer RNA (tRNA) molecules are approximately 80 nucleotides in length. Their secondary structure includes four short double-helical elements and three loops (D, anti-codon, and T loops).
Source: RNAcentral